AAAAAUAUUUUGUUAGAAUGGAAGUUUUAUUGGAAUUGCCUUUGAUUCCAAUAAAGGAAAAACUUAGACAAGGACCCAGAGUUCUCAUGGCCUUUUACCAAAGGCAGAUUUGGGACUUUUGUAGUUUGCCAAUCACCAAGCACUAGCUAAAACCGGGGAACAUCUGUGUUUGCUUUUUCUUGCCAAUCUUCUGUAUUACUGCAGUAGUUAAAGAGGAAAAUCUGAAAUUGCAAGUGUAACUUACUCUCUGUCUCCAGAGAAUUUUACCUUCUGUCCCCCAUAAAUCAAUUUAUAGUGACAUGUCUUGCAGAUGGUCUGUCAGCAGCCAAACAUUUAAUGUAGCUGUCCAUAUAGCAGACAUUUAGGUUGCAGGAUAUAAUGUCCAGUUUUGUUUGUUAAACAUUCAAAUACUGGGACCACUGCUUUCAUGUAUGGUUGCCUAAUUUUAUGGAAAGAGAGAGAUCAGUGCCAUUGCACUCAGACAAAAUAGCUCUGUCAUUCCAGUUUUAGGGCUGUAGCCAGGUACACAGUGGUGUUUAAUUUCCCUGGAUUUUAGGAAUUAGCACUGUGUAUUUUCCUUCUAAAUUUAUUAACAUAACACUGAAGAGGGACUCCCUCACAAGCUGGGAUGUCAACAAGGAAAAUACAAACUGUGACACAAGCUGGAAAGUAACAGUACUUAUCACACAAAGGGGGAAAAGGAAAACAAAGUCAACUGGUAUUGACGCUGUGGCACAGGCAGGUUAAAUGUACAGAGCAGACAAUUACAGCACAAUUAGAAUUAUAGAGCUGGCUUCUCACAGUUAAAGAGAAACCUGGUAUGAGCAAUGUGACAGGAAGGGGAACUCUCCUUUCCUUUUGUCUUGUGAAAUGUUCCUUUCGCUGCUUCCAUGGACUGUUUAGUUGGGUAAUUCAUUUUCCUUUAGUAGAGAUGUUAAUUCUCUCUGCUCCACCGUAAGAAAUUCCAUACUUCAGAUGCAGAAAAAGGGUGGACUCUGAAAACUGGAAGAAAAUCUCAGUGUCUCAGCUGCUAUUAAUUUUUGCAAGUCUUUUGAGUUCAGUAUCCUUCUUCAGGCACCCUCCACAGAUCUCUCUCUCCUAAUUUUUUGGAUCCAAAGUGACUUCCUAUGAUCACUGACUCUCUGGAAGAAGUAGAAAAGAUCUGGAUGUGGACACCUGUGCUGGCUUCUCCAAUCGCUGUUCGGCUCCUUCCCAAAUGAGCUCUGAAGAUGGAAAUCCAAACUCCUAAUGAAGAACUGUGUGAUGAGUUUAUAGGAGGGGUAAGACCUCCCCAGCAGAACUGGAAUAAAUUAUUCCUAUAUAGUAAUACUGGAACACUGCUCUAUGUGAACCCUCUGGAUAAAGGCUGUAGUAUCUCAGAAUAUCUAUUUCCCCAUAGAAGGAGACAUAAUUGUUGUGAGAAAGGGGAUAUGUGCCAUGAAGUGUUCUGCACACAGAGAUCACCAUCCUGAGAUGAUGUGCCUAUCCAUAUGGAGAAUGAGAAAGACAAUAAAUACAUUAUCUGGGCAACUGGCAGAUUGUGAAGACAAAAGUGUAAUACACUUUGAGCUCCUGAAGGAUAAUAGUGGUUUGGGUGAUUUCUCAAUGGCAAGUUGUUUUCGUUUUCUUUCCUGUUGUUACCCUUAUUUGAGAAAUUGUGAGGCUUAAAAUAUUACUGCCUAAAGUUCUUUAGAAAUGCAGCGUUGUCCAAGUGUUCCUUCUGAAAACUCAGACUGAAGGAAGUAAACUCUUCCCUUGCUAUGCUGUAACUGGUAAAUAAAAUAAAUAUAGACCUGUCACCUCCCCAUGUGCUGGGGUUAAGGGUUAGUCAUCCUCUGCCCCCAGAUUUACACAGCAAUCUUUUCUUGUCAUGCUUCAGAAGUGAAGGAAUUUCUGAAGCAGCAUACUUCAACAGAAAAGCAUACUUUAGCUGAAAAAAAAAAGUGUUCAGGUGGCAGUGCAUUUGGGUUAUAAACUAUUUGUGGAUAAUGAAUUAGUCUUUCUCUAAUAAUCAAUUUGUGCAAUAUCCAGGAAA
Long non-coding RNA from Passer domesticus (house sparrow), 2035 nucleotides. RefSeq lists it as uncharacterized. Lineage: Eukaryota; Metazoa; Chordata; Aves; Passeriformes; Passeridae. The transcript has 3 exons. The record is from RefSeq and is a predicted model, not a curated record.